UACGUAGGGCGCAAGCGUUGUCCGGAAUUAUUGGGCGUAAAGAGCUCGUAGGCGGUUUGUCGCGUCUGCUGUGAAAACCCGAGGCUCAACCUCGGGCCUGCAGUGGGUACGGGCAGACUAGAGUGUGGUAGGGGAGACUGGAAUUCCUGGUGUAGCGGUGAAAUGCGCAGAUAUCAGGAGGAACACCGAUGGCGAAGGCAGGUCUCUGGGCCACUACUGACGCUGAGAAGCGGAAAGCAUGGGGAGCGAACAGG
RNAcentral lists this ribosomal RNA (254 nucleotides) under uncultured bacterium. RNAcentral's name for it is "partial 16S ribosomal RNA". It matches the Rfam family "Bacterial small subunit ribosomal RNA", at positions 524 to 776 of the family's 1533-position model. The record is from RNAcentral.